RNAcentral lists this non-coding RNA (23 nucleotides) under Cricetulus griseus (Chinese hamster). Lineage: Eukaryota; Metazoa; Chordata; Mammalia; Rodentia; Cricetidae. The record is from RNAcentral.
GGAAAGAACAGAACUGGGAGCGG